GGUGAAAUGGCUGAUGAUAGGCGAUAAAUUGUAAAUUUAUUUAUGGGAAAUUCUCUUUUACCA
RNAcentral lists this transfer RNA (63 nucleotides) under Staphylinoidea sp. 11 KM-2017. Its description in RNAcentral is "tRNA-Tyr". Lineage: Eukaryota; Metazoa; Arthropoda; Insecta; Coleoptera. The record is from RNAcentral.